Molecule: non-coding RNA, 584 nt
Organism: Cyanistes caeruleus (blue tit)
Lineage: Eukaryota; Metazoa; Chordata; Aves; Passeriformes; Paridae
Source: RefSeq, a predicted model, not a curated record
UUUGGGGGCAAAAAAAUGUCUGUCUUGGGUGUGUGAAAUGACAGGCUUGUCCAACAUAAGCCUGAGCAGCUGCAGAGAUCAGCCUGAAGGCCUGGAGGAGAUGGCCUGCCAUAUGGGAUUCCCAAAGCUCUUCCUGUACCUAUUCACUGCAGCAGCAACAAUGCACAAAAUGCUGAUGGGAAGAGGCAGUCCAAGGGACGAGAAGAAGUGAGGCACAAAGCAGCAGGAGUUACGAUUUUCAUGGGCUCCCGCAUCAGUAACAAGCUCCAAUCUUGUGUCGCACUCCCAGCCUCAGAGGUGCAAGGGGCACUAGCAAUCACUUCAGUUUGGGAAGUGGUAGUGGAGCUGGGGUUGUGGUGCUUUUCCUCCAUUUUUAAAGUCUCCAGGAUCGUGCAAGAGGUUCUGUAUAUAUCUUUCGCCCCUGAGAUUGUAUAAAGAUUCAGUCCUCCUGUGUGGAAGGUCAAAAGUACAUGAACACUGUCUUCUCUUAAGCAUACACUGGACACAAAACUAACAGAAUUGCAUGAAUGAUGGAUUGAGGAAAUUUCAGAAUUGCAUGCAUGAAGGGGUGAGAAAAAGUAUUU